This 187-nucleotide ribosomal RNA is filed under the name uncultured bacterium. RNAcentral describes it as "partial 16S ribosomal RNA". It matches the Rfam family "Bacterial small subunit ribosomal RNA", at positions 1314 to 1500 of the family's 1533-position model. The record is from RNAcentral.
GACUUCAUGAAGCUGGAAUUGCUAGUAAUGGCAGGUCAGCAUACUGCCGUGAAUACGUUCCCGGGCCUUGUACACACCGCCCGUCACACCAUGAGAGUUGGGAAUACCCGAAGCCUGUGAGCUAACUGUAAAGAGGCAGCAGUCGAAGGUAGAAUCAAUGAUUGGGGUGAAGUCGUAACAAGGUACC